RNAcentral lists this long non-coding RNA (556 nucleotides) under Phaseolus vulgaris (common bean). RNAcentral describes it as "long non-coding RNA (PVUL_LNC002333)". Lineage: Eukaryota; Viridiplantae; Streptophyta; Magnoliopsida; Fabales; Fabaceae. The record is from RNAcentral.
GAAUUUCGCGAUGGUGGUGCCCGUGUGUGGUGUGUGUAACAUGUCCAAGGUGGUGGGUGGUAGCCUGCCGUAGAGCGCGUGGAAUGGUGAUGUGCCUAUCGGUAAGUAGUACGAGGUAUUGUGCUACAUUUAUGCCAAGUGCAGAUAUUGGUACCACUUUUGAAGGUGAUUUUCGGCGAAGCAUCAUAGGUAAGCCUCUAAGCCUCGAUGGAGUACCUCUGUUUCUCCAUUCUUUUAUGGAUGAUAAGUUGAGCUUAAUUUUAAUGUGGUUACCUGUGCCUUGAACGGUUCUUUCCAGAAGGUGCUGACGAAGAGGGGGUCUCUAUUUUGAAACUAUUGUUUUGGAAGAACAAUAGACCUUGGUGGGUGGAGAAUAAGUUGGGUUGUUGCUAGUCAUUAGUGCAUGCACUUAUCAAUUGUUGUCCUUCAUUUGAGAUUUUUUUUUUUUGCAAUUCAUGAAAAAGCAGAGGAAUGGGUGAGGACACUGCCAACAUGAUGGGAGUCUCGAUUGUCUCUUGGCGGGAGAGGGCGUCGACCACCAGAUUUUGUUUUCCAG